Molecule: ribosomal RNA, 450 nt
Filed under: uncultured bacterium
Lineage: Bacteria
Description: partial 16S ribosomal RNA
Rfam family: Bacterial small subunit ribosomal RNA
Source: RNAcentral
CCUACGGGUGGCUGCAGUGAGGAAUAUUGGGCAAUGCCCGCAAGGGUGACCCAGCAACGCCGCGUGGAGGAUGAAGGCCGUAAGGUUGUAAACUCCUGUUAGAGGAGAAGAAUAGUACCGAUUGGAUCGGUAUUUGACUGUACCCUCAGAGAAAGCCCCGGCUAACUACGUUCCAGCAGCCGCGGUCAUACGUAGGGGGCAAGCGUUGUUGGGAUUUACUGGCGCGCAGGGGGGAGAGCAAGUCAGAGGUGAAAUCCUACAGCUUAACUGUAGAACUGCCUUUGAUACUGUGAUUCUUGAGUUCGGGAGAGAGAGACGGAAUUCCAGGUGUAGUGGUGAAAUACGUAGAUAUCUGGAAGAACACCAGUUGCGAAGGCGGUCUCUUGGUCCGAUACUGACGCUGAGGCGCGAAAGCGUGGGGAGCAAACAGGAUUAGAUACCCCUGUAGUC